Fundulus heteroclitus (mummichog) is the source of this 631-nucleotide long non-coding RNA. RefSeq lists it as uncharacterized. The record is from RefSeq and is a predicted model, not a curated record. The transcript is spliced from 5 exons. NCBI's taxonomy places the organism in Eukaryota, Metazoa, Chordata, Actinopteri, Cyprinodontiformes, Fundulidae.
AAAGGGCCACAGGAGGCACGGUCUGAGUUCAUCAGAGUGCAUUUAGAAGCAGAACAACACCCUGGUUGUAAUCCUGUCAUCCUCAGAUACAGAAAGGAGCUGCAGCACAAAUGAAAAGUCUCAGGGUGGGGAGGCUAGUGUCCAGUUCAGGGCUUCGCCUGUUCCUGACAGUCCUGUAUCUGCUCACAAUGAGCUGCAGCUCCAAGUGUGACAGUCGAAGUGUCAGUCCAACCAUUCUCCACCACAGAAGAAGUUAUCAAUUGCACUGUUGAACUGGAGUCAUCAACUCUAAAGAGAACCAGGGAAGCGCCAAAUACUGAACCUGGACACAAGGAGGAUUCCUCCAUGCUAUCUUCUCCAGCUUCUAGACAACCUGACACUGAUAAAAGGAGGAAAAUAGCGUUUUGGCUUUUCCUGCUGCAACUGAUUUAUGAUAAGGUUACCCAACCUGGGGAUGACAUGCUAUAUCAACUCCAUCCUCCAAAGCGUCCUUACUGACCCUGAGCUGCUCUCACCCAAGAUCCCAGCUCUUCAGAUGGUUUCUAGAUAUUGAAGUCAGUCGCUACUCCAACAUCAGAGAGGAGAAUAAGUCGCUUCCAUCCUCUUUUUAAAUGGACCGUCGCUGAGUAUA